This 454-nucleotide ribosomal RNA is filed under the name uncultured Sphingobacteriales bacterium. RNAcentral describes it as "bacterial SSU rRNA". It matches the Rfam family "Bacterial small subunit ribosomal RNA", at positions 930 to 1382 of the family's 1533-position model. Lineage: Bacteria; Pseudomonadati; Bacteroidota; Sphingobacteriia; Sphingobacteriales. The record is from RNAcentral.
CGGAGGAGCAUGUGGUUUAAUUCGAUGAUACGCGAGGAACCUUACCUGGGCUCGAACGUAAGAUGACUGUAGGUGAAAGCUUACAUCUCGUUCGGAGCAGUUUUACGAGGUGCUGCAUGGUUGUCGUCAGCUCGUGCCGUGAGGUGUCGGGUUAAGUCCCAUAACGAGCGCAACCCCUACCUUUAGUUGCCAUCAGGUUAAGCUGGGGACUCUAAAGGAACUGCCUACGCAAGUAGUGAGGAAGGCGGGGAUGACGUCAAAUCAGCACGGCCCUUACGUCCAGGGCUACACACGUGCUACAAUGGCCGGUACAAAGGGCAGCUACCUGGUGACAGGAUGCUAAUCUCAAAAGCCGGUCUCAGUUCGGAUCGGAGUCUGCAACCCGACUCCGUGAAGUUGGAUUCGCUAGUAAUCGCGCAUCAGCCAUGGCGCGGUGAAUACGUUCCCGGGCCUU